Long non-coding RNA from Cloeon dipterum, 574 nucleotides. RefSeq lists it as uncharacterized. Lineage: Eukaryota; Metazoa; Arthropoda; Insecta; Ephemeroptera; Baetidae. The transcript has 3 exons. The record is from RefSeq and is a predicted model, not a curated record.
GGCUAUUUAUAAAUCUUUGAAAUAUUCACCAAGGAUCAUGUUGCAAGAACUGAUUUCCCAAAAUGAACGCUGCUUUACUUGUGGUAAUAGAGCCAAUGAGGGCAGCAUCUGGACUUGCGUUGAAUGUGAUAACUACGUCUUGUGUGCAAAAUGCUUCGGGCAAUACAGGCACGAACACAUCAUGGAAAAGUUAGAACAGCGGCAGUCCAAAAGUUUAGACAUACUGAAGUUGUUGCUAGACGUUGAAUCUGACAAAAAAAGACCAGUCCAUGCUAAGGAGCACGUUGACGAAAAAAGGCUGUCUCUGGACCAACGUAUCCAGCUGAUGGCGCAUGCUAGUUAUUGUGAAGCCGACAAAUGCCAAGAGUGCACUACUCUGAUUAUUUGUCAAAAAAUGAAAAAAGUGAUGCGACACAAUCAGGCCUGCCAAGAGAAGAGCAGUGGUAAUUGUUUCAUGUGUCAACAGUUACACAUUGUUUUUUGUUACCACGCUCAACAAUGCAAAGAACUGAAGUGCCCAGUACCUACGUGCUUGAAGACACAGCAGGAGCACAAAAGAGCGACAGCAGAAACA